RNAcentral lists this ribosomal RNA (372 nucleotides) under uncultured organism. Its description in RNAcentral is "bacterial SSU rRNA". It matches the Rfam family "Bacterial small subunit ribosomal RNA", at positions 526 to 896 of the family's 1533-position model. The record is from RNAcentral.
CAGAGGUCCCGAGCGUUGUUCGGAUUCAUUGGGCGUAAAGGGUGCGUAGGCGGCGGGGCAAGUCGGAUGUGAAAUCCCGGGGCUCAACCCUGGAACUGCAUUCGAUACUGCCUUGCUUGAGUACUGGAGAGGGAACUGGAAUUUACGGUGUAGCAGUGAAAUGCGUAGAUAUCGUAAGGAAGACCAGUGGCGAAGGCGAGUUCCUGGACAGUUACUGACGCUGAGGCACGAAGGCCAGGGGAGCAAACGGGAUUAGAUACCCCGGUAGUCCUGGCAGUAAACGGUGCGCGUUUGGUGUGGAGGGAUUCGACCCCUUCCGUGCCGGAGCUAACGCGUUAAACGCGCCGCCUGGGGAGUACGGUCGCAAGAUUA